AGUGAACGCUGGCGGUAGGCCUAACACAUGCAAGUCGAACGGCAGCACAGUAAGAGCUUGCUCUUACGGGUGGCGAGUGGCGGACGGGUGAGGAAUACAUCGGAAUCUACUUUUUCGUGGGGGAUAACGUAGGGAAACUUAAGCUAAUACCGCAUACGACCUACGGGUGAAAGCAGGGGAUCUUCGGACCUUGCGCGGUUGAAUGAGCCGAUGUCGGAUUAGCUAGUUGGCGGGGUAAAGGCCCACCAAGGCGACGAUCCGUAGCUGGUCUGAGAGGAUGAUCAGCCACACUGGAACUGAGACACGGUCCAGACUCCUACGGGAGGCAGCAGUGGGGAAUAUUGGACAAAGGGCGCAAGCCUGAUCCAGCCAUACCGAGUGGGUGAAGAAGGCCUUCGGGUUGUAAAGCCCUUUUGUUGGGAAAGAAAAGCAGCAGGUUAAUACCCCGCUGUUCUGACGGUACCCAAAGAAUAAGCACCGGCUAACUUCGUG
Molecule: ribosomal RNA, 492 nt
Filed under: uncultured bacterium
Lineage: Bacteria
Description: partial 16S ribosomal RNA
Rfam family: Bacterial small subunit ribosomal RNA
Source: RNAcentral